Long non-coding RNA from Rhagoletis pomonella (apple maggot), 97 nucleotides. RefSeq lists it as uncharacterized. The transcript has 2 exons. NCBI's taxonomy places the organism in Eukaryota, Metazoa, Arthropoda, Insecta, Diptera, Tephritidae. The record is from RefSeq and is a predicted model, not a curated record.
CGUUGGAGAGUAAAGUUGAUGAAAAAAGAACGAAAAUGGAUAAAAAAUCAAAAGUAGUUAGUAACAAAAAGCAACUAGCGCGAUUAGUGGAGUUGAU